GGGAGGUAGUGACAAUAAAUAACAAUACAGGGUCCUUUUGGGUCCUGUAAUUGGAAUGAGUACAAUUUAAAUCCCUUAACGAGGAACAAUUGGAGGGCAAGUCUGGUGCCAGCAGCCGCAGUAAUUCCAGCUCCAAUAGCGUAUAUUAAAGUUGUUGCAGUUAAAAAGCUCGUAGUUGAAUUUCGGGGUUAGUAGGUUGGUCAUGCCUCUGGUAUGUACUGGUCUCACUGAUUCCUCCUUCCUGAUGAACCGUAAUGCCAUUAAUUUGGUGUUGCGGGGAAUUUGGACUGUUACUUUGAAAAAUUAGAGUGUUUAAAGCAAGCUAACGCUUGAAUACAUUAGCAUGGAAUAAUGAAAUAGGACGUUCGAUCCUAUUUUGUUGGUUUCUAGGAUUGACGUAAUGAUUAAUAGGGAUAGUUGGG
RNAcentral lists this ribosomal RNA (422 nucleotides) under uncultured Glomeraceae. RNAcentral's name for it is "SSU rRNA". It matches the Rfam family "Eukaryotic small subunit ribosomal RNA", at positions 459 to 886 of the family's 1831-position model. The record is from RNAcentral. Lineage: Eukaryota; Fungi; Glomeromycota; Glomeromycetes; Glomerales; Glomeraceae.